This 718-nucleotide long non-coding RNA is filed under the name Mytilus galloprovincialis (Mediterranean mussel). The record is from RNAcentral. Lineage: Eukaryota; Metazoa; Mollusca; Bivalvia; Mytilida; Mytilidae.
UUUUUUUUUUAUAAAUACCGUGUGGCCAAUAUAUGAGCCACAUUAAAUGCAAGCCAUAGAUUAAAUGCUGUUUUACAGACUAGUGAAAUAUACAAUUAACAAGAUACACAUGGAAAUGAACAAAUAUUUAUAUAUACAUGGAAUGUUUAAACAUUUUAAAACAUUUUAUACUCAAUGAAAGAUUUGUAAUAUAUAGCUACAUGUACAAUAAGAUGAAAAACUUCUAAAUUGUGAAAGGAAUAAAUUACAGAACAUAGAAAUAUUUUCCUUAAGUGUUUUUAUAGACCACAUUUUUGUGCACUAUUUUCUAAAAAAAUUCAAAGUAAAAUGAAAGGUAGGUCAUUUGAUACUGAACCUUCUGUUCAAUAUCUAAAUGGGAGCCUUCUUGUAUGUACAUGUAUAAUCAAAAUAAGGGGAGAUAAUGACAUCUACUUUAUGUUUGAUGAAUUUCUUCAAAAACACUUUUUGUCACAACAAUAACCUGGAUGUUGAUUUAAAAAUACAUUGUUUAUCAAAUAUAAUUUUCUCAAUUAAUGUUAAAAAACAUGAUUAUAGAGGCAUAUAGGAUUAAAAAAAAAAUAUAACACAAAAACAAGUAAAGAAGCAUUCUGUAAUAUACAACAGGUUGUUUAUAAUAAUGUUUACACCAAAUAUGAAUAAAUAAAUACUAACAUUUAUCCAAUAAUAAGGUUUUAUAAAGUAAGAUCUAAAAACUUUU